This is a long non-coding RNA of Girardinichthys multiradiatus, 498 nucleotides long. RefSeq lists it as uncharacterized. The transcript is spliced from 3 exons. The record is from RefSeq and is a predicted model, not a curated record. Lineage: Eukaryota; Metazoa; Chordata; Actinopteri; Cyprinodontiformes; Goodeidae.
GGGCUGCUAAUAGGGGGGGCGGCAGUGAACAGGACACGAAGGUUCAGUAAUCCCUUGUUUAAGAACUGAACCUACUGCUCUCAGCGACUCCUUAAAUAUGAUAAAUAGUUCUGUCCUGCAGUCCAAGCUCACUUGAUGGCAGUAUUGCACCCUUAAACUAGUCUGCCUGCCGCCGAUGGACAGAAGAAGAAGAAGAAGAAGACGAAGAACCACAAGAUGGUGGCUACUUGAAGGCCCCUUUACUGCAGCUGUCUGUGGGCUGCAGCUCCCGCUUAAAAAGGAGACAAAGACAUGCAGCAGCUUUGGCUUCCGGUCUGAGAAAACAUGGUGCUUGGUAGGAAACCCCAGAGAGAGGAGCUCUGUUGCGUAGCUGCUGAAGCAUCCGUACCUCCGGCUGAAGCCACGUUAUCUCCUGAUCCAGGUACAGAUGAGGAAAGUAAAAGGAUUGACGUUGUUUGGUGCCAACAACAGGCAUUGUCUACAGUCCAAACGGCAACC